GUGCUCACUUCAGCACCACAUAUACUAAAAUUAGAACGAUACAGAGAAGAUUACCAUGGCCCCUGCACAAGGAUGACAGGCAAAUUUGUGAAGCGUUCCAUAUUUUU
Molecule: small nuclear RNA, 107 nt
Organism: Heterocephalus glaber (naked mole-rat)
Lineage: Eukaryota; Metazoa; Chordata; Mammalia; Rodentia; Bathyergidae
Source: Ensembl